GACGAACGCUGGCGGCGUGCCUAAUACAUGCAAGUAGAACGCUGAAGAGAGGAGCUUGCUCUUCUUGGAUGAGUUGCGAACGGGUGAGUAACGCGUAGGUAACCUGCCUGGUAGCGGGGGUUACCUAUGGGAACCGUUAGCUAAUCCCGCUUAAAAUGGAUAUUCGCAUGAUAAUCAUUUGAAAGGUGCAAAUCCUUCACUACCAGAUGGCCCUGCGUUGUAUUAGCUAGUUGGUGGGGUAACGGCUCACCAAGGCGACGAUACAUAGCCGACCUGAGAGGGUGAUCGGCCACACUGGGACUGAGACACGGCCCAGACUCCUACGGGAGGCAGCAGUAGGGAAUCUUCGGCAAUGGACGGAAGUCUGACCGAGCAACGCCGCGGGAGUGAAGAAGGUUUUCGGAUCGUAAAGCUCUGUUGUAAGAGAAGAACGAGUGUGAGAGUGGAAAGUUCACACUGUGACGGUAUCUUACCAGAAAGGGACGGCUAACUACGUG
This 497-nucleotide ribosomal RNA is filed under the name uncultured bacterium. RNAcentral describes it as "partial 16S ribosomal RNA". It matches the Rfam family "Bacterial small subunit ribosomal RNA", at positions 28 to 507 of the family's 1533-position model. The record is from RNAcentral.